Non-coding RNA from Danio rerio (zebrafish), 451 nucleotides. The record is from RefSeq and is a predicted model, not a curated record. Lineage: Eukaryota; Metazoa; Chordata; Actinopteri; Cypriniformes; Danionidae.
AACAGUAGUGUACAUUUUGCCAUUGUGAACACAGUGUUUUUAAUGAAAUGCUUUUUGUCUUGCCCUUUUUGAGUUCACCAAACCAAGAUUUUCCGGAUCCCACAUUGCUGCAGCAAAGCCAAAUCUUAGUGUGGCUAGAAGACCAUCACAGGUUGACGUUCAGCCCAGUUCAGCAGUGUGUAGUGCUUCUACACCAAGCACGGCUACACAGGACCUUCAAGUUUCUGCCCCCGUCCUCACAUCCACUACGGCAGUGACCAGUUCCACAGAGCCGUCCAGCAUUGUCUCAACUGCACCUUCUGGGUCAUGGUUGCAAGCUCCAUCAGCUGUUCCACUUCCGCGCCUUUGGGCUGAAACCUUGCCACCAGAGGACCACAAGUGGAUUGCCAGCAGGCUUUUUAAAAUGGGGUCCAAAGGAAAGCCAGAGCUUCGAGACAACUUCCAGCUCUGA